GCCAGGCACAGUGGCGCGUGCCUGUAGUUCCAGCUACUUGGGAGGCUGAGGUUGGAGAAUCCCUUGAGCCCAGGAGUUCUGGGCUGUAGUGCACUAUACUGAUCAGGUGUCCGCACUAAGUUUGGCAUCAAUAUGGCGACGUCCCGGGAGCAGGGGACCACCAGGUUGCCUAAGCAGGGGUGAACUGGCCCAGGUUGGAAACUGAGCAGGUUAAAACUCCCGUGCUGAUCAAUAGUGGGAUUGCCCCUGUGAAUAGCCACUGCACUCCAGCCUGGGCAACAUAGUGAGACCCUGCCUCUA
Molecule: unclassified non-coding RNA, 300 nt
Organism: Callithrix jacchus (white-tufted-ear marmoset)
Lineage: Eukaryota; Metazoa; Chordata; Mammalia; Primates; Cebidae
Rfam family: Metazoan signal recognition particle RNA
About the family: The signal recognition particle (SRP) is a universally conserved ribonucleoprotein.
Source: Ensembl